Molecule: ribosomal RNA, 301 nt
Filed under: uncultured bacterium
Lineage: Bacteria
Description: partial 16S ribosomal RNA
Rfam family: Bacterial small subunit ribosomal RNA
Source: RNAcentral
CAGCAGCCGCGGGAAUACGGAGGGAGCUAGCGUUGUUCGGAAUUACUGGGCGUAAAGCGCGCGUAGGCGGUUACUCAAGUCAGAGGUGAAAGCCCGGGGCUCAACCCCGGAACUGCCUUUGAAACUAGGUGACUAGAAUCUUGGAGAGGUCAGUGGAAUUCCGAGUGUAGAGGUGAAAUUCGUAGAUAUUCGGAAGAACACCAGUGGCGAAGGCGACUGACUGGACAAGUAUUGACGCUGAGGUGCGAAAGCGUGGGGAGCAAACAGGAUUAGAGACCCGCGUAGUCCCUGUCUGUUAUAC